Long non-coding RNA from Dermacentor silvarum, 273 nucleotides. RefSeq lists it as uncharacterized. Lineage: Eukaryota; Metazoa; Arthropoda; Arachnida; Ixodida; Ixodidae. The transcript has 3 exons. The record is from RefSeq and is a predicted model, not a curated record.
AACAUCCGCAGCAACACUGACAGCUCAAGGAGAAGCACCUGCAAACCUCGCUACUGGUUCCAGUGCACAAAGUCUGUGCAACAUUGACGAGGAGAAUGAGCCAAGUUUGGCCACUACCCAGCGUGCAGAGAGACCAGGAGGGAGAGAUGAAACUGGAAACAUCGCCUUGUCACAGCAAGCGAGUACAUCUGAGACAAGUACAUCUGAGACACAAGUGGAAAAGGAACUGCGUUCUCUGACUGGGCAGCAUGUAUGUUCUCAGUGUGGCUUCUU